This 440-nucleotide ribosomal RNA is filed under the name uncultured bacterium. RNAcentral describes it as "partial 16S ribosomal RNA". It matches the Rfam family "Bacterial small subunit ribosomal RNA", at positions 338 to 795 of the family's 1533-position model. The record is from RNAcentral.
CCUACGGGUGGCAGCAGUGGGGAAUAUUGGACAAUGGGGGAAACCCUGAUCCAGUGACGCCGCGUGAGUGAAGAAGUAUUUCGGUACGGAAAGCUCUAUCAGCAGGAAAGAAAAUGACGGUACGUGUCUAAGAAGCUCCGGCUAACUACGUGCCAGCACGCGCGGUAAUACGCAGGGGGCAAGCGUUAUCCGGAUUUACUGGGUGUAAAGGGAGCGUAGACGGCAGCGCAAGUCUGGAGUGAAAUGCCGGGGCCCAACCCGAGAACUGCCCUGGAAACUGUGAAGCUGGAGUGCAGGCGAGGUAAGCGGAAUUCCUGGUGUAGCGGUGAAAUGCGUAGAUAUCAGGAGGAACACCGGCGGCGAAGGCGGCUUACUGAACUGUAACUGACAUUGAGGCUCGAAGGCGUGGGUAGCAAACAGGAUUAGAUACCCUAGUAGUC